GAAGCGCCAAACCGGAUGGUAACCAUUUUUUGGAGUGCGAUAUCGCUACAUUAGUUGAAGAGCAAUAAGACUCUUACCUUUUUGAUAAUUAUACAAAGUUGGAUUCCGUUUUGAGUUGAGCUUAAGUAUUUCGGAUAUUGUUUUAUGAAUAUUUGAUUAAAAUUGUAUUUAGAUUCGUGAAUGAUACAGGUAAACUAGCCGUUCAUACAAGCGAACCGUAAUAUCUACGCUUAAGAAUAGCGAGCGUUGUUGAGGUAAAAGGAAUCCCGCGUCAACGUGGGUGCGAGUCUGGGCUACCGACACGGCCACUACCAAUGCUCAUCGAUCUGCAGUGCUAGAGCAAACGCGGUGAAGGUC
Uranotaenia lowii is the source of this 357-nucleotide long non-coding RNA. RefSeq lists it as uncharacterized. The transcript has 3 exons. The record is from RefSeq and is a predicted model, not a curated record. Lineage: Eukaryota; Metazoa; Arthropoda; Insecta; Diptera; Culicidae.